RNAcentral lists this ribosomal RNA (253 nucleotides) under uncultured bacterium. RNAcentral describes it as "partial 16S ribosomal RNA". It matches the Rfam family "Bacterial small subunit ribosomal RNA", at positions 524 to 776 of the family's 1533-position model. The record is from RNAcentral.
UACGUAGGGUGCUAGCGUUAUCCGGAUUUACUGGGCGUAAAGCGAGCGCAGGCGGUUUCUUAAGUCUGAUGUGAAAGCCCCCGGCUCAACCGGGGAAGGUCAUUGGAAACUGGGGAACUUGAGUGCAGAAGAGGAAAGUGGAAUUCCAUGUGUAGCGGUGAAAUGCGCAGAGAUAUGGAGGAACACCAGUGGCGAAGGCGACUUUCUGGUCUGCAACUGACGCUGAUGUGCGAAAGCGUGGGGAUCAAACAGG